GGGGGCGUGCGCGCGGCGGGUCUGGGGCCGCAACCCUGUGGGCGCGGGGCUGGCUCUGGCCUCCGCCCCCCGGCGCGGUUAUCUGUCCCUGCUGCGCUGGUCCGUCAGCCUUCAGCCUCCCGAUACGGGCACGCCCCGCUCCCCUGCCCCUGCUGGGCAUUCUUCAGACUCCUUUGGGAAGAGAUCACGCCGCUUCUUCGGUUGAGACGCACUAGCGGGAGACCUGCUACUCUGCCUUCCUGCUCCGCGGCAUUGCCACUUCAGUAGAGAAAAACGUCCUGCUGCCCCAUUUAGCAAUUGGCACAGCCUCGCCACCGCCAGGGCUCCGCUGGCCUUGUUUCCUUUCAGUCGCCUGUGAGUUAGGUACUGCCUUCUGAGAGACCUGGACUAGUCCCUUCAGGUUCAACUAAAUGCAUAACACAACCCUACCCCCAGGACGCUGACAAUAGAAAGGAAGAGACUGUCCGCGGAGUAGACGAGUGCGCCUGUAAGAACUCGGGAUUUUCCAGCCUUAUUCUGCACCACUCUCCCCUACAUGCCCAGUUCCCUGUGGGUAAACUGGCUCUGCCCGAUUCCUCCAAGACGACACCUUUCCAUUUCACAGCCCUUCCUAACACUCUUCUGCGCCUGCAAUGUCCUCUCCCCAACAUCUGCCUGUUGGAAGCGUUUUCACUGUUCCUCGGCUCAGUCGGCUGAAAUAUCGCUUCUGAUUGCUCAGAGGGAUGUUUCCCACUGUGGCACUCGCUCCCUAGUUAUUCCAUACCUCUCUCAGGUCACUGACAAGACUUGGGUCUGUCAUGCCGCAGUGCCCCUCACAGUGCAGUCCUCGAUAAAUGUUUGCCCAGUGUUAUUGAACCCAGUUAUCUUGGGUGCUGAUACUAGUUCUGGAACUGGCAUGAAUUUGGCUCUUGCUAUGGACCGAAUUUUGUCCCCACCCCUAAUGUGUGUGCCGAAGCGCUGAACCCCAGUGUGAUGGUUAUUUGUAAAUGGGGCCUUUGGGAGGUAAUCGGAUUUGGAUGAGGUCAUGGAGGUAGCAGGUCAUGAUGGGAUGAGUGCCUUUAUUAGGAGAGACACCAAAGAGCUUGCUUUUCUCUCACACUCUCUGUCCCCUACCCCCAACCUCAGCCCUCACCUCCCUCCUCCAUGUGCGAACACAGCAAGAAGGCCGCCAUCUGCAAACCAGGAAGAGGUCCAUCACUGAGGGGCCAAAGUGGCACCUUGAGCUUGGACUUCCCAGGCUUCAAGAACUGUGAAAAAUAAAUCCCUGUUGUUGAAGCCCCCCAGCCUAUGUUAUUUUGUUGCAGCAGCCGGAGCUGACUGACACAGCCGCAUGAUCACCGGCAAGUUCCUCCAUCGCUUGGGACUCUCUUUUCUUCUCUGUCAAAUGUGAAUAUUAAAACCUGUCUCACUGCA
Molecule: long non-coding RNA, 1413 nt
Filed under: Homo sapiens (human)
Lineage: Eukaryota; Metazoa; Chordata; Mammalia; Primates; Hominidae
Description: HSALNT0365788
Source: RNAcentral